RNAcentral lists this ribosomal RNA (253 nucleotides) under uncultured bacterium. Its description in RNAcentral is "partial 16S ribosomal RNA". It matches the Rfam family "Bacterial small subunit ribosomal RNA", at positions 524 to 776 of the family's 1533-position model. The record is from RNAcentral.
UACGUAGGGUGCGAGCGUUAAUCGGAAUUACUGGGCGUAAAGAGUGCGUAGGCGGUUCUUGAAGUCCGCUGUGAAAGCCCCGGGCUUAACCUGGGAAUGGCAGUGGAAACUGGAGGACUUGAAUUGAGCAGAGGGGGGUGGAAUGCCGCGUGUAGCAGUGAAAUGCGUAGAGAUGCGGCGGAACACCGAUGGCGAAGGCAGCGCCCUGGGCUUAAAUUGACGCUGAGGCACGAAAGCGUGGGGAGCAAACAGG